Molecule: ribosomal RNA, 509 nt
Filed under: uncultured bacterium
Lineage: Bacteria
Description: partial 16S ribosomal RNA
Rfam family: Bacterial small subunit ribosomal RNA (bases 21-331)
Source: RNAcentral
GACGAACGCUGGCGGCGUGCUUAACACAUGCAAGUCGAACGGAAAGGCCCUGCUUUUGUGGGGUGCUCGAGUGGCGAACGGGUGAGUAACACGUGAGUAACCUGCCCUUGACUUUGGGAUAACUUCAGGAAACUGGGGCUAAUACCGGAUAGGAGCUCCUGCUGCAUGGUGGGGGUUGGAAAGUUUCGGCGGUUGGGGAUGGACUCGCGGCUUAUCAGCUUGUUGGUGGGGUAGUGGCUUACCAAGGCUUUGACGGGUAGCCGGCCUGAGAGGGUGACCGGGAGUAGGGGGCGCGGGUGGCGGCCCAGACGGCUGGGGGGGGGGGCAGGGGCGAAUAUGGCACGUGGGCGGGACGCCGGGAGCGGUGCGGCGGUGUGCGGGGUGGCGGCCUGGGGGUGGGAACGUGCUUCCGGCGGGGAAAAAUCGGGGGGUACGGGAGGGAGAAGCGAAGCACAGGGUAACAACGCGCCAGCGGCCGUGUUAAUAGGCGGAAGACCACACGUCUGACC